Molecule: long non-coding RNA, 1397 nt
Organism: Sapajus apella (tufted capuchin)
Lineage: Eukaryota; Metazoa; Chordata; Mammalia; Primates; Cebidae
Exons: 3
Source: RefSeq, a predicted model, not a curated record
GGCUAGGCCCUGCCUCCCUCGUCCCGUCCCUGGUUCCCAUUGGCCUUCAGUUUGGGACAGGCAUGUUGAUUGCAGAGCUGGAGUUCAGACAGCUGGAGCGAGGAGGGUGUGUGGCUUUUUAGAGUAGAGUUCUUUGGCCUACUCACCAACCGACUGUCCGAAAGGGGCUGGAGAUGCCACCCCAGCAAGGAGAGACCACGGAGCCUGGUGAGGGAGAUACACCUGCAAAGAGAGCUUCAGUGCAGUAACAACAACAGGCAUAGCUGGUGUGUUCAUCAACUCACAAGAGAUCACACUACCAGCAUCUCCCGCUUGAUUUCCCCAAUGACGAACAACUUAUCCUGGAAAUGACUCCUUUGGUAGGUAUAGCAGGGACAGGUUUCGUGUGUUCUCUGAUGUAUAAACCCAAGACCUUCAGGUGAGGAGACCGACACUGACAUGCUGCCUGUUGUGGUAAUGACACACUCAGGGCACCAUCUCCAAAUGAUACCCAAACCAAUCCUUUCAAGUCUCCAUCUCUUAAAGAUUUGUGAAGAAAUCAAAUGUCUGUUGCCUGUGAAGUCCCAUGUUGUAAAAUUCUAAAUAUUUUACAGUAGCCUUUGGAUCUUACCCUUGAUUGCACAAAUACGCAGCACAGCAGAGCAUUCAUCAUGCCCGUGGCCCUUGGCUCCACCACUCACUGCUGGGUGAUGCUGAGAAAGUUCCUUAACAUCUCUGUGCCUUCUUUCUCCAUUAGUCCCAUGAAAAUACUACUAGUAACGUCAUCUACUCCUUGGGGCAGUUUAGAGCACUGACUGUGUGAAGACAAGUACAGCUGUCUGGACAGUCCUUGGCAUAUGGUAAGUUUCCAACCAAUUCUAAGCUGUUUUUGUUGCUGUUCCCUCAUUUCCCUGGAGCAUGUUCUGGAGACACAAAUGUCAAAUCUACCUUCGACCCCUUGGAUGAUGUGUAGAUUGUCUCUUCAGCUCUUCAGGGACUCAAGAUCUGAGUCUGUGGGGCGGGGGGAAGGCAUAUUUUAUUAGCAUAAUGAAUAUUCAGCUCUCCCUACAGGAUAUUGUGGAGCCUAAAUGCAAUGCUGGGGUUUCAUCCUCAUGAGCUUGUAUGGAAACUUUGAAUGGAAAUUCCUCUAGGAAAUUAGAACUCUAGUGACCUCUCCCUGUGACUUGUAUAAUGCUUGGACAAGUAAGUGGGCAUUGGAUAAUCGUAGCACAAAAGCAUAUAAAUUUUUAGAAACAUUUUAAAGAGUGAAGUUUAAAGGCCAAAAAUUAUUAUCGUAUGAUCGUUCUAUUGCUAUUAGUUGUAUUAAGUCCAACUCUCCUCCAUCAAAUUGUAAAGAUCUGAAUCCGAUGGAGAUACAAAGCUGUUAGCAGUUAAUUUUCAUUAGUGGCAUUUUAUUU